AGGCCCUCAAAAACUUAGCAAGACCCUGACUCAAGAUAAAAAUAAUAAAAAGGACUGCAGAGUGGCUCAGUGGAUAAGCACCCCUGGCUUCAAUCCCCAGUACCAAAAGAAAAGUUUUUAUCAUACAAAACAGUGACAUAUGUGGGAGUCUUAAGCUGAAGACUAUGAUUAAAUUCAAGCAAAGGAGUAUCCUGGAACUGACAAGACUGGAAGGUCAAUCACAAGACCCACUGCACAACUCAUAUGAGCAAAUAUAAAUUACCUAAGAUGAAGGAUCAAUCAAUACAGUGUGAUGACAAAAUAAACAGCAACCUCCCUUGAUGGCCCACCUUUCCACUGGCACACAGUUGGCCUCUAGAGAUGGAGAUAUCACCUAUGUUUGCUCAUGACUGACAGAUGAAGAAUUGUUUCAAGAACAGCAAACUGAAGAGUCUGGCCAAUUCUUGCAGCCUAUCUGCCUCUGCUCUGAUGCUCUGGUUACAGACAGAAAUAUCCACUCCUGGGAUGAUCCCACCCUCAGGAUGCCUCCUUCUUACCUCACAUGAGCUGUCAUGAUUCUCUGGAGCCAGAGUUGUGAGUUUCCGAGGUGAGAUCCAAUUAGUUGGCAUGGUCACACUGGGUCACAACUCUUGUUCUCUCAGGAGCCUGAGACUUACUGCUCCUUUGUGAAUUCAAGCAGAGCUGUUGGGAAAAGGUGACCUGGAGUCUGAAGGAAGAUCUGGUCCAGGGCCUCCCCAGAGGUACCACAAAACCUAGAAAGAUCAAGUCCACAUAGUCAGUUAUUCAACAUUCAUCACCUAAACACUUCCUGAGCUAGAAACCACACAGCAGUGGUUCUCAAACUUGAGUACACAUUCAAAUCAUCUGGAGGGCUUGUUAAAACAGUUAAAAAUUUUCAGUCUCACCCUUGCAGUUUCUGAUUUAGUAGGUUUAAGGUAAGGCCCAAUAAUUUGCAUUUCUAACUAGUGCCCAGAUUACACUGAAACUGUUUUUUCAGGGACCAUAUUAAGGAAGCAGUGCUGUGAAGGAUAUAAAGUCUAACAAAAUGUGACAGGCAUCACUGAUGGUAAAAUAUAGGGAAAAACAUGAGAUUUGGAGUAACAUUUCUGCAGAUUUGAACUGCAGCUCUGCCACCUUUCAGCUAAGAGAAUAUGCAGUUACUCCAGUAUUAAUUUCAAAAAUUAGGACGAAAAUGCCUAUCCUGAUGCUUGUAAAGUACUCAACAUUUCUCUGGCACACAAAGAUCACGCAAUAAAUGUUAGCAAACUAUCAUGUACUAUCAAAUAUUAAAACAAUAUACAAAUGUUAAUCAGAACAAGUAAAACAACAAAUAUACCACACAAUAUUGAUCUGUAUAUGUGACAAAAGUGGUAUUCAACUGAAUGUGCACAAAACAUUGUAUCAAUGGUCCUAAUAUAAGAGUCCAUUCACCUAGAACAAAACAAACUAGAACUCCAUCACACACUAUUCAGUAGACAAAUUCUGACAAGACUAAACUUCUAAAUAUAUGUAUUUUUAAACCCCAAAGAAUAUUAAAAUAUAUUUUAGCAGUAUGUAUUGUAUAACACUGUCAUGAGUUCAAUGUAACUUACACAUGAGAGGAAACCCAGAAACUAUAAACCCAGAUAUUUCUGAUUACAUAUUUACUAAUUAUGUUAAAUACACCAUAAAAAUUGCAAGGAAGAUACCAAUUAUUUCACUAUGUGAUAAUAGGUUACUUCUAACGUUAAAAAAUCUAGCUAUCACUAAAUAAAGCCUGGACAAAGAAUAUACAAAUUCACAGAAAAGGAAACAAACAGGAAAUAUGCAUUAAAACAAUUAAAUAUAAUUUCCCUUCAGAAUUGUAAAAGCUUUUUAAAAGGAAUAAUAUCCAGUGCUGGAAAGCAUUUGGGAAAAUAAUUAUUUUAUAAAUUGUUGGUGGAAGCUUAAAUUGCUAUAAUGCAUUUAUUUACUCAUAGUCUAAUUAUUAAAAUACACAAGUUUUCAUAAUAAUAUAGUUUCAAAUAUAUAAAAAAGCAGAAACUAACAAAAGGAAGGACAAGAAGACAAACCACCUUUCUGGUGUAAGUAGUUACCUUCUGAAAUUAAGCAUACAAAAUUUGUAAGGAGACAUGAGAUACAUAUGUAAAAUAUAUGCUUAAUUUGUAUAAAACAAUUCAAUUAGAGAACAUACAUUGUUUUAUGUAACAUGUGACAUCUAUGAAAACUGACCAUGACAUAGAUCAUACUACGUUUUUUCAACCCAAGCACUGCCUGGAGACAAUUUGAAACAGAAAACGCUCUUCUGAAUAACUCAUGUGUCAAAGGAAAAAAUAAGUAAUUACAGAAAACCAGAUUUAAACAAUAUAGAAAUGUUACACACCAAAGGUUGUCAGUCUGUAUUAAAGAACACUGAAAAUUGGUGAGCUGAACUUUCAACUCAGGUUAGAAAGCAGGCUGACCAAAGAACUCAGUGACCCCCACAGCUAACACUGCAGACUCCAUCACUGACCACAGACUCUCAUCACUGACUCCCACAUCCCAAUCACUCAUCUCAAAGGGCCCGGUCAUUUACAGGAGGUCCCCCGACACUGACAAACAUCAACGGACCCCCGCCCCAUCACUGAACCCAGAACCGUCACUACCACUGCACCGCUCACAUUACUAACUACACAGAAUCCCUAAUCGCAACCAACCAAAAUCAGCUCAGAGACUUCUUGCCAUUAAAAUAUGGAAAUAUUCCUAAUAGCAGCAGUGAAAAAGCCUUCAUGCACCACUUCCACUUCCGGUUUGACUUGUAAAAUCUCCCCGGGGGACUGUUGGUACUGCGCAUGCUCCGAAUUACCUUCGCUGCCACAUUAAGCCAACAGUCAACAUGGCGCACACACUUCUUUGUAGACUGCGGUUUCCAGAAGAGGUGCGGUAGGGCUACAAACAUGGCCGCGCCCAGUGGUACUUCUCUAUGUGGGCUGCCAUCUUAGAAGCUUCUCUAUUCCGUAGCAUAGGAGUCGGUCCCCUGCCAAGUUCCAUGACAUGAGACUGGAUUGUGACCUAAAACGCAGAACUGUCGCCUUAUCUGGAUAGGCUUCCGGGAGGAGGGAGGACCUGGACAUGGGGUCUGGAACUUUACGUUACACGUUAAAAAGCUAGUUGCCCGAGGGAUACAGCAGGCAGCAAAUCCAGCGAGGAAAGACCACUUAGAGGAAGGGGUCGUGGGAGAAACCACAGGGAAAUGAGGGGAGAAAACAGGACGGCACAAUCCGCUCUGUGAAGAAACUACUCAGGGAGAAAAUGGAGAGGCGAAGACGGGAGUCUGUCCCCUGGGCGAAACCCCAAGCGACAAUGAGACAAAACAUUGGCAUUACACUUGAAGUCAGAGUGGUACAACCUUCCAUGGGAGAAACCACCUCGGGAAGUAGGGUAGAAGUUGAGAGAGGAGGUAGAGCAGGAGCCAGUCUGGGAGAUACCACCU
This is a long non-coding RNA of Sciurus carolinensis (gray squirrel), 3451 nucleotides long. RefSeq lists it as uncharacterized. The record is from RefSeq and is a predicted model, not a curated record. Lineage: Eukaryota; Metazoa; Chordata; Mammalia; Rodentia; Sciuridae. The transcript is spliced from 3 exons.